Molecule: ribosomal RNA, 324 nt
Filed under: uncultured bacterium
Lineage: Bacteria
Description: bacterial SSU rRNA
Rfam family: Bacterial small subunit ribosomal RNA
Source: RNAcentral
GACGAACGCUGGCGGCGUGCUUAACACAUGCAAGUUGAACGGGCGAUGUUGGAAGCUUGCUGAAGACUUCGUUAGUAGCGGACGGGUGAGUAAUGCAUGAGGACCCGCCUUCCGGAGAGGGACAACAGUUGGAAACGGCUGCUAAUACCCCGUAUGCCGAGAGGUGAAAGGGAUGGAGACAUGCCGCCGGGAGAGGGACUCAUGUCCUAUCAGCUUGUUGGUGAGGUAACGGCUCACCAAGGCGACGACGGGUAGCCGGCCUGAGAGGGCGAACGGCCACACUGGAACUGAGAGACGGUCCAGACUCCUACGGGAGGCAGCAUG